GCCGGGAUGGCGGAACUGGGAGACGCAUCGGACUUAAAAUCCGAUGGGCUUCAAAGCCCGUGCGGGUUCGAUUCCCGCUCCCGGCACCA
RNAcentral lists this transfer RNA (89 nucleotides) under Synergistota bacterium. RNAcentral's name for it is "Synergistetes bacterium (oil production facility metagenome) tRNA-Leu". It matches the Rfam family "tRNA". Rfam says of the family: Transfer RNA (tRNA) molecules are approximately 80 nucleotides in length. Lineage: Bacteria; Thermotogati; Synergistota. The record is from RNAcentral.